CCCACAAGCCCACUGCGUUGGAAACGACAAACUGAACGGACCAGACUGUGGAAGAGAAACCCGGAGUUAUGGACAAGCUUAUGGCGUCAGAAGCUGUUGGAUAUUACAAAAAAGGACCAGAAAUAUGGACCCGGUCAUCUCUGUGGGAAGAAGAAUUACCUUCAACCAUAAAUCAGCUGAGCGACUCGUUGAGAUGGACGUAAUGAGACAGGUCCAUGCAGGGAGGGAGAUGGAGGCAGUGCCAUGGAGGAGCCGUAAACAAGGUGAAAAAUAAUCAGGUGACGGUGGACUGCAGCUCUCUGAGGGCCUCCAGCAGCCGCUGUGCAACAAUGCAUCACUUUCCCCUUUUAGAAAUGACUUUUUUACCUGCAGUCAGUUCUUGUUAGCUCCGUCACACUUUAGCCCCCUUUUUUUUUGCCUCUAUUUGUUUUCAUGCCUGUCUUGAUUUAGCACCGACUCGCCUCCGUACAUGUUUGCUGUCAGCAGAUUUGAUUAUUCUUAUAAAUAAUUUCUUACAUUUUCAAUCUGUGACCUUUUGCGAGUGCAGAGUUUCAGUUUUGGUGUUUAAGAUCGCACCUUUUCAGAUGCUGUUCUAGAAAAUGCAUUCGAUUUAAAUAAGAUUGUGGGAAGGAUUUUACUAUAUUUAAACAAACCAUAUUUCUGUUGUUUAAAAAAUUAUACUGAGAUUAUUAUUAAAACCCACAGUAGCCGGAAAAUACUGAUGGAUGGAUGGAUGGAUGGAUGGAUGGAUGGAUGGAUUGUAUAUUUUAGAUUUAAGAAAAACAAUGAAACGAAUGUGCAAAUUGAAGAAAAAAGGUGCAAAUAUUGCUGGUAUUUAUUAUUGUAUUCAUUUCUAUUUACUCUUUUGUUCUUGUAAAGUUUUGUAUCUGAGGAAUUUCCAUAAAAGCAAAGAUUAUGACAUUUACAA
Long non-coding RNA from Amphiprion ocellaris (clown anemonefish), 928 nucleotides. RefSeq lists it as uncharacterized. The record is from RefSeq and is a predicted model, not a curated record. Lineage: Eukaryota; Metazoa; Chordata; Actinopteri; Pomacentridae. The transcript is spliced from 3 exons.